GCAUAUCAAUAAGCGGAGGAAAAGAAACCAACCGGGAUUGCYUUAGUAACGGCGAGUGAAGCGGCAAAAGCUCAAAUUUGAAAUCUGGUACCUUCGGUGCCCGAGUUGUAAUUUGGAGAGGGCAACUUUGGGGCCGUUCCUUGUCUAUGUUCCUUGGAACAGGACGUCAUAGAGGGUGAGAAUCCCGUGUGGCGAGGAGUGCGGUUCUUUGUAAAGUGCCUUCGAAGAGUCGAGUUGUUUGGGAAUGCAGCUCUAAGUGGGUGGUAAAUUCCAUCUAAAGCUAAAUAUUGGCGAGAGACCGAUAGCGAACAAGUACAGUGAUGGAAAGAUGAAAAGAACUUUGAAAAGAGAGUGAAAAAGUACGUGAAAUUGUUGAAAGGGAAGGGCAUUUGAUCAGACAUGGUGUUUUGUGCCCUCUGCUCCUUGUGGGUGGGGGAAUCUCGCAUUUCACUGGGCCAGCAUCAGUUUUGGUGGCAGGAUAAAUGCAUAGGAAUGUAGCUUGCCUCGGUAAGUAUUAUAGCCUGUGGGAAUACUGCCAGCUGGGACUGAGGACUGCGACGUAAGUCAAGGAUGCUGGCAUAAUGGUUAUAUGCCGCCCGUCUUGAAACACGGACCAAGGAGUCUAACGUCUAUGCGAGUGUUUGGGUGUAAAACCCAUACGCGUAAUGAAAGUGAACGUAGGUUGGGGCCUCGCAAGAGGUGCACAAUCGACCGAUCCUGAUGUCUUCGGAUGGAUUUGAGUAAGAGCAUAGCUGUUGGGACCCGAAAGAUGGUGAACUAUGCCUGAAUAGGGUGAAGCCAGAGGAAACUUCUGGUGGAGGCUUCGUAGCGGUUUCUGACGUGCAAAUCGAUUCGUCGAAAUUUGGGUAAUAGGGGCGAAAGACUAAUCCAACCCAUCUHGUASCUKGUUCCUGCCGAA
RNAcentral lists this ribosomal RNA (919 nucleotides) under Saccharomyces cerevisiae (brewer's yeast). RNAcentral describes it as "LSU rRNA". It matches the Rfam family "Eukaryotic large subunit ribosomal RNA", at positions 38 to 965 of the family's 3401-position model. The record is from RNAcentral. Lineage: Eukaryota; Fungi; Ascomycota; Saccharomycetes; Saccharomycetales; Saccharomycetaceae.